This 742-nucleotide unclassified non-coding RNA is filed under the name Hevea brasiliensis (rubber tree). Lineage: Eukaryota; Viridiplantae; Streptophyta; Magnoliopsida; Malpighiales; Euphorbiaceae. The record is from RNAcentral.
ACGACCUGUAUUAACACCAAGGGUCAUGAAUCUAUGCAAACAGCGAAAAAAUCAAUAUCCUAUGUCUCCUCUCUUACAAUGAAGCUUUUGCUAGUACCAAGUCGCUACUAGCUAUGUCAUGCACAGCCCAAAAGCUCUUCAUUUUGUAGUAAUCACAACACAUAUAUACCCCUAUUACUUGCAGCUAUCAAAACAUCCAUAGGAGAGAUUUUUGCAACUUUGAAAGCUCAUUACUGAGGCAGCUUAUAGUUACCUUCACACAGGAGAGAAUUAUAUUUCAACAAUUAUUCUUUCUCCAUAUUCAAGAUUUUCCAUUUUAUUUCAUAAUCACAUACUUUCUGCUAAAACAAUUCUAAUGAAAAGCUAUAUUUUACCCAUUCCACAUGGGUGGAGGCUAGACACACAUUCAAGAUUUCUGUUGUCAAAACUGGACCGAUAGUCAAUAGUUAACCCUCUUUUUCAAAGGAACCAUCUUAAUCCGCUGAACCGGCUUAGUAAUUGGUGAAUCAAUCAACCUUGUCCUGGUCCAAUGAGUUAAGAGGUUUGUGAACCCAUGUCAGUUGGCCACUCAACUUUAACAUAAAUUAGCCCCUGACCUAUUUGAAAAUUGUCUAUUACAAUCCUUACCUUUUAUUUUGACCUAUUGCAUCCCUGAUUUUUUUUAUUUUUUAAUUAUUACACUUAAAUUUUUAUUUUUAUAACUAAUCACAAUGCUACAUUUAAUUAUAAAUAAUUGAAUAAA